RNAcentral lists this ribosomal RNA (247 nucleotides) under uncultured bacterium. RNAcentral describes it as "partial small subunit ribosomal RNA". It matches the Rfam family "Bacterial small subunit ribosomal RNA", at positions 26 to 287 of the family's 1533-position model. The record is from RNAcentral.
AGAAUCAACGCUGGCGGCGUGCCUAACACAUGCAAGUCGAACGAGAAAGCGGAGCAAUCCGCAAGUAAAGUGGCGCACGGGUGAGUAACACGUGACUAACCUACCCUGGAGUGGGGGAUAACUGAGAGAAAUCUUAGCUAAUACCGCAUAACACCUACGGGUCAAAGGAGCAAUUCGCUUCAGGAGGGGGUCGCGGCAGAUUAGAUAGUUGGCGGGGUAAUGGCCCACCAAGUCAGUGAUCUGUAUC